CGCCGCGGCUACUUUGUAGCGGGUUCGGGGCCGGCCCGCCUGCGGCUGCGGGAGCCCGGCCCGGCCCGACCCGGGGACCCGGGAGUCUGUCGCCGACGUGUGCGGGCUGCAGCGGCCUGAGCUCUACGCGCAGGUUGAAUACUACAGGUACAGGCCGCGGAAGCUGGAAUAUUCUGAUGCUGGUAUUUUUACUGACUUAUACCAAUUCUCCAGUUUACAGUACACACUAACGAGGUCAAAUAGUCUUCCAUAACUUGUAGCAGCUAUGUGUCCAGUGCGCCCUUCACAGGCCUUAGCAGCAGGACAGUGCUGGUGGUGACCGGGCAGCCUAGCAGGUGUUUUACCUUCAUCUUGUCAUUCAGUUCUGACAACUCUGAGGUCGGUACUAUUCCUUUGUUUUAUAGAUGAAGCAACAAAGAGGUUAGGUACUGACUCAAGGUCCCGCCACAUGUGAGGCCCUGAACAGGGAUCCUCGUGUAACUUUCUGGCCAUGUGACCUCUUGGAAAGUCACUUCUCUUGGCAUUUAAUGUUCAAUUGGAGCUGUAGUAAUAUUGAGACAGAUGAGGCCAGUUUGGUCAGGGGAGACCACAGCAGAACUAUUAAGAAUAUAAGGUCUUCAUAGUAUUUAAUUACAUCAGACCUACGAAGUUACCAAAAUUUGGCACAAAGGGGGCAUCUGUCAGCAUGUUAGGUGUUUUUGAUGAAUGAGCAUAACGAGCUGUGACGGGCUUUAAAGGAUACAGGGGUGCUAGAUUGUUAGAAUAUGAAAAUCUUCGAGGUGAUGGGGGAAGUUUUCAUAUGGGAAGAAACGAGACAGUGAAGCAAGAUGAACAGAGCCUAGUAUGUGCUAGUUGUUCAUGCUGACCAGCCCUGAAUGUCUGCAAAUACCUCAUUUUCCAGAAGUUUUCAAUAAAGAUUUAAUAUUCACCUUGCA
Non-coding RNA from Leptonychotes weddellii (Weddell seal), 935 nucleotides. The record is from RefSeq and is a predicted model, not a curated record. NCBI's taxonomy places the organism in Eukaryota, Metazoa, Chordata, Mammalia, Carnivora, Phocidae.